UACGGGGGAUACGAGCGUUGUCCGGAUUUACUGGGUGUAAAGGGCGUGUAGGCGGAGAUGCAAGUCAGAAGUGAAAUGCAGGGGCUUAACCCCUGAACUGCUUUUGAAACUGUAUCCCUUGAGUAUCGGAGAGGCAGGCGGAAUUCCUAGUGUAGCGGUGAAAUGCAUAGAUAUUAGGAGGAACACCAGUGGCGAAGGCGGCCUGCUGGACGACAACUGACGCUGAGGCGCGAAAGCGUGGGGAGCAAAC
This 250-nucleotide ribosomal RNA is filed under the name uncultured prokaryote. Its description in RNAcentral is "partial 16S ribosomal RNA". It matches the Rfam family "Bacterial small subunit ribosomal RNA", at positions 524 to 773 of the family's 1533-position model. The record is from RNAcentral.